GAUUUUUACUUAUGGCCUGAAUAUACUCGAUCCCAUCACAUCUGGGAACCUUAAGCAGAGUUGAACUCUGUUAGCACUUGGAUGGGAGACCUCCAUGGAAGGCCAGGUGUUAUUGGCU
This 118-nucleotide ribosomal RNA is filed under the name Eptatretus burgeri (inshore hagfish). The record is from RNAcentral. Lineage: Eukaryota; Metazoa; Chordata; Myxini; Myxiniformes; Myxinidae.